UACUGAAUCAUUAGGGAAAUAUCAGGUA
Molecule: non-coding RNA, 28 nt
Filed under: Rattus norvegicus (Norway rat)
Lineage: Eukaryota; Metazoa; Chordata; Mammalia; Rodentia; Muridae
Source: RNAcentral